UUGCUUUGGGAGUACACAUAUUAAAAUUAGAACAAUACAGAGAAGAUGAGUAUGGUCCCACUCAAGGAUGAUAUGCAAACUCAUGAAUCAUUAGAUAUUUUA
This is a small nuclear RNA of Mustela putorius furo (domestic ferret), 102 nucleotides long. The record is from Ensembl. NCBI's taxonomy places the organism in Eukaryota, Metazoa, Chordata, Mammalia, Carnivora, Mustelidae.